GCCCAGGAUCCUAACCUGGGAAUCCCGGGCUGUUGAAGCGGAGCACUCGAACUCAACCACUCGGCCACGGGGCCGGCCC
Non-coding RNA from Ceratotherium simum simum (southern white rhinoceros), 79 nucleotides. The record is from RefSeq and is a predicted model, not a curated record. Lineage: Eukaryota; Metazoa; Chordata; Mammalia; Perissodactyla; Rhinocerotidae.